UGAGGAAUAUUGGUCAAUGGCCGAGAGGCUGAACCAGCCAAGUCGCGUGAGGGAAGACGGCCCUACGGGUUGUAAACCUCUUUUGUCGGGGAGCAAAGAGAGUCACGUGUGACUCAUUGAGAGUACCCGAAGAAAAAGCAUCGGCUAACUCCGUGCCAGCAGCCGCGGUAAUACGGAGGAUGCGAGCGUUAUCCGGAUUUAUUGGGUUUAAAGGGUGCGCAGGCGGAGGUGCAAGUCAGCGGUCAAAUUGCGGGGCUCAACCCCGUACUGCCGUUGAAACUGCAUCCCUUGAGUGCGCGAGAA
RNAcentral lists this ribosomal RNA (303 nucleotides) under uncultured bacterium. RNAcentral describes it as "bacterial SSU rRNA". It matches the Rfam family "Bacterial small subunit ribosomal RNA", at positions 355 to 656 of the family's 1533-position model. The record is from RNAcentral.